ACUCAAAGGAAUUGACGGGGGCCCGCACAAGCGGUGGAGCAUGUGGUUUAAUUCGAUGCAACGCGAAGAACCUUACCUACCCUUGAAUCCACGGAAUCUUGCAGAGAUGCGAGAGUGCCUUCGGGAACCGUGAGACAGGUGCUGCAUGGCUGUCGUCAGCUCGUGUCGUGAGAUGUUGGGUUAAGUCCCGUAACGAGCGCAACCCUUGUCCUUAGUUGCCAGCACAUAAGGUGGGAACUCUAAGGAGACUGCCGGUGAUAAACCGGAGGAAGGUGGGGACGAAGUCAAGUCAUCAUGGCCCUUACGGGUAGGGCUACACACGUGCUACAAUGGUUGGUACAACAGGAGGCGAAAUCGCGAGGUGGAGCAAAUCCUCAAAAGCCAAUCGUAGUCCGGAUUGAAGUCUGCAACUCGACUUCAUGAAGCUGGAAUCGCUAGUAAUCGUGGAUCAGAACGCCGCGGUGAAUACGUUCUCGGGCCUUGCACACACCGCCCGU
RNAcentral lists this ribosomal RNA (497 nucleotides) under uncultured bacterium. RNAcentral describes it as "partial 16S ribosomal RNA". It matches the Rfam family "Bacterial small subunit ribosomal RNA", at positions 899 to 1397 of the family's 1533-position model. The record is from RNAcentral.